GACGAACGCUGGCGGCGUGCUUAACACAUGCAAGUCGAACGGAAAGGCCCUGCUUUUGUGGGGUGCUCGAGUGGCGAACGGGUGAGUAACACGUGAGUAACCUGCCCUUGACUUUGGGAUAACUUCAGGAAACUGGGGCUAAUACCGGAUAGGAGCUCCUGCUGCAUGGUGGGGGUUGGAAAGUUUCGGCGGUUGGGGAUGGACUCGCGGCUUAUCAGCUUGUUGGUGGGGUAGUGGCUUACCAAGGCUUUGACGGGUAGCCGGCCUGAGAGGGUGACCGGCCACAUUGGGACUGAGAUACGGCCCAGACUCCUACGGGAGGCAGAAGUGGGGAAUAUUGCACAAUGGGCGGAAGCCUGAUGCAGCAACGCCGCGUGCGGGAUGAAGGCCUUCGGGUUGUAAACCGCUUUCGCCUGUGACGAAGCGUGAGUGACGGUAAUGGGUAAAGAAGCACCGGCUAACUACGUG
RNAcentral lists this ribosomal RNA (468 nucleotides) under uncultured bacterium. Its description in RNAcentral is "partial 16S ribosomal RNA". It matches the Rfam family "Bacterial small subunit ribosomal RNA", at positions 28 to 507 of the family's 1533-position model. The record is from RNAcentral.